This 305-nucleotide ribosomal RNA is filed under the name uncultured bacterium. RNAcentral's name for it is "bacterial SSU rRNA". It matches the Rfam family "Bacterial small subunit ribosomal RNA", at positions 335 to 636 of the family's 1533-position model. The record is from RNAcentral.
CUCCCUACGGGACGCAGCAGUGAGGAAUAUUGGUCAAUGGGCGGAAGCCUGAACCAGCCAAGUCGCGUGAGGGAAUAAGGCCCUACGGGUCGUAAACCUCUUUUGCCGGGGAGCAAGGGCCGGGACGCGUCCCGGCCCGGAGAGUACCCGGAGAAAAAGCAUCGGCUAACUCCGUGCCAGCAGCCGCGGUAAUACGGAGGAUGCGAGCGUUAUCCGGAUUUAUUGGGUUUAAAGGGUGCGUAGACGGGAAAUUAAGUUAGUUGUGAAAUCCCUCGGCUUAACUGAGGAACUGCAACUAAAACUGA